Paramuricea clavata is the source of this 644-nucleotide non-coding RNA. The record is from the annotation of a GenBank genome assembly. NCBI's taxonomy places the organism in Eukaryota, Metazoa, Cnidaria, Anthozoa, Malacalcyonacea, Plexauridae.
GUCAUUUAAUCACUAAUUUCCCUCAAACCAUGCGUUUACUUAUAAUAAAUUUAACGAUUUAUUUAAGAGUAUAAAUAGCAGACUUGAUUCGCUAAUCAUGGAUAUGCUACAUUAGUAGCCGGUAGUCGAAGGAAAUAAAAAAACUACAAGAAUAAAAAAAACUUAAACCGUGGCGUGCAGGUGAAUUUGUUGAUGAUCAGUGCAUCAAGGGAAGGGGGAAACCAAUAGAACUGAAAAGACGUUGAAGAGUCUGUCUGGAGUUGAAGUGUACAACAAGCCGGGGCUGGUUUGCCUUCAGGGCGAUUGCCGAUAAAGAAUCGCGUAUGGUGGAGCGAUUAGGAAUCACUGUUGUUCUAACAAGCGGGAUGUGUGCUCGCGAAAAUUUGGGUUAAGCGUUGGGAAGUGCAUUGGGCAUGCGAAUUGUAUUGGGCCGACAAUUGGGGCAAGUUGAACAAUGUUAACUACGAUCGAGGGGCUAGCCGACGACAGAAAGACGAAGCGGAUGGUAUGAGCUCAGUCUGAUUUUACGUUAGCUGAAGAUGUUUAGAUUAGGUAGGGUUGUCUUUACAAAAUACAGAGUAAUUAAAUAUUUUAUGUUUUAUUGUAUAUUCGGUCUGUUGAUUGUUAGUAGCUUCCACGUUGAC